UUUUUUUUUUUUUUGAAAAAAAUGGUCAAUUUAUUACACGACUCAUUCGAUAUAUUUAUGAAAAUUAAAACUUUUAUUUUUUAAAAUAUUAAUAAAAAGUAGUAUUUUAAACUUUUUUAUGUCAACAAAAUGUUUGUAUUUUUUUCAUUUUAUGUCAACAAAAUGAAGCCUCAAGAUGUGUGCGGCCGCAGCCGAGAGGCCAUAGAAUUUAUGCGAGAAAUUUCCCUAAUUAUUACAUCCAAAGCAUCUCUAUUAUCCAAAAUGGAUUUAUGAGAAACACCCGGAAGCUCGAUCGUUUCCAGCGUUUGAUUCUUCUCCUCUGCCCAUAAUUUCUCAAGCGCCCGCAAGCUCACCAUAUUCACCGUCCCAUCUCCAUCCCCAUAGCCCAUUUCCGGCUGUUCAUCGAACCCCUUUUCGCCGUACAACAGAGUCUCCGGCGUCUUCACACCCCCUCCAAUUACACAAGUUAAAUCCACCCCAGGUGCUUCAAAAUGUUCGAUGAGUGGCAAAAUGCGAGAUUCGUAAGGAUAAACACCUUCCUCAAAUCCAAUAUCCUUCAGAAAACGAGGUAUUUCCUCCACUGUGUAGUUAUAAUAUUGAGUCAUUACUAUCGGCUUAUUGUGUUUGUAGAUUGUGGGGUUGGGCAAUAGCCAUAGAUUGCUUUCAGAACUCCGUUGCUCUGUUCUAACACGCAAUGGAUCGACGAGUGGGACGCCGAGUGUGUUCCCUGAUGCGAAUGUGCGCAUCCCUUCCACUGAUCCACCCCAUGGUGUAGACAAGGUCACAAGGUGUUUGAUGAAGUGCCUACGCCAAGAGGGUGUGUUUCGAUUGAGAAAUUGGAGGGCGAAAAGUCCCCCUAAGCUAUGAGUCACCAGUAUUACUGAUUUCCCCCCAUUUGAAUUGCUUGCUUUCUCCACCAAUUCUUUUAGAUCCUUGAGGAACUUGGAACCCACUUCACAGGGAUGACCUUCUGGAGCCAAACCAUAUCGAAAAUCAUAGGGUGCUCCGAAUAGGGUCUUGUCUCUAACGUACCCAAUUGCUUCUAAAGAAUUCACCAGCCCGGCCAUAUAUGUUGUGAUCUUCCUGCCAAUAGAAAAAGGCAACCAAUCACAAGCAAUAUUAGAAGCUAUGAAGCGCGUACACUUCAUGUGAAAUAGAGAAUUAAUAUGAAAUACGUAUUAGAUACUGAUAUUCUGAGAUACUUCUUAAAUAUAUUCAGUACACGACUCAGGGUAUCUAUUUUUCUUUUUAUAGAUAUUGGUUAUGGCAUCACCUUCUAUAACUAACCUGUGUAAAAAGUCCACUGCCCAAGUAAAAAAUUGAAAACCAAUCAUGUAAUCUUCGUGCCCUAGUCCCCGCAAAGUUGUGCAAAAAAUAACCCACUUGAUUAACUUCAAGGAAGAAGUUUUUCCUUUAGGUUCGUACUAAUCCCUCUAAUCUUCUUCUUCUCUAUUGAUUUGAUUCCAGGGUAUCAGCAACCUUUUCUAUUGUAUUAUUGCUGCUUUUUGUAUUGUAUUUCAGCGUUUAUAUUAUAUUUAGUAUUAUUAUCUUUAACUUGACAUUUUAUGUUUUCGAGUGGAUUGCAUUUAGUAUUUCAAGUUAAAUUUACAUAUUUCCUAGAUUUUUUUCUUUAAAAGUAUAUUCAAAGAAUCCGUAUCCUAGUCUUUGAGGUAUUGACAUAUCAUCGUAGCCUAAUACAUAUCUCUGUGUUUGACUUUGUGCUACAUAGAUUUCUAGAAAGCUUACUUGAGAUUGGGAUCGAGGUAGAGAAGAGACUGGACUGAUCCAAACUGAUUGACUCUAGUUUGAACACCAAUUUCAUUUCUGUAAUCAUCCGAAUCUUUGUCAUAAUGAAGUGUCAUCCGGUGAGCAAAGCAAUCUGUGUAUGGAGCCAACAGAACAGUAGGGCUGAACCAAAGCCUGAACCAACCUUGUGAGUCCUUCAUGAUUGGAUUCCAACGGCUGCAAAAUAAGGUGGAGGAUUUGUAGUCUUUGGUGAGGCGAGCUUCCAAUUGGUUCCCACCAGCUCCGGGGAUGAGGAUGAGAGGGUGGAGGGAGUUGCUUGAUUCACACAUGUACAACUGAUGCACCAAAGCCAUUGAAACUAUGGCGAUGAUUUUCAGUUCACCCUUCAUCGUCAUCUUCUUUCCAUGUCUGAAAACUGUUCUUUCAUCUCAUCGUUAUUAUUAUCCCACUUUGUCAUGGCUUUCGUCAACUCAAUGACGUACCCCACUUCUCCAUUUUGUGGUGCACAAUAGUUUGCGUUAUCCAAGUAAAAGUUAAACAACAAUAAUCCCAAUCAUUGUGGGCCUCCGGGCCAAAAUAUAUUGGGCUUUCUAGUUUCUACCCGUAACUAGUAUAACUAUGAGAUAGAUCGAUAUACAUAAUUGGAUUAAAAUAUUAGUAUAUAUAUAUAGCAACUUUUCAAAAAGAAAAAACUAUAAAUAUAAAAUUUAUUAAGGAUAGAAACUAAUUAGUGAUAAAUUUUGUUGUAAAUAUUUGUCUAUCAUUGAUAGACCAUAAGAGUCUAAUGUAACGCGAGUUUAUCAUUAAUAGAUUUUGACAUAUCGACGAUUUUAAAAAAAAUGUUAUUAUAUACUUAAUUGUUAUUCUUAAAAUUGUUACGUAUAAUUAUAACAUCGUCUAAACAUUCUUAUUCUGGCCUAAUACACUAAUAGUAACUCAAUUCUUAUUAGUUUUUUUUAAAAAAAUUAUAUACAUAUAGUAAUAUUAAUAUCAAAACAAGGAUAUAAGAGAAGUUUCUUACGUAUUAGUAUGAAAGAAGUUUGUUACGUAUUAGUAUGAAGUUUUGUAGGGGUCAACAAAUUGUGUGCUGAAGUGGGAGAGUCUAUGUUUUCAAUUAAUCGUAAAACUUAUAUUUUUUAGAAUGUUAUUUGGUUGAAGGUCGUGUACUAAAUAUAAAAAAAUUUGAAUAUUGGAACUGUCAUUUAGAUUUCAGUAGCUAAAUUCAAACGAUUAUGUAGUUGAAUGUAAACGACCGUGUAGACAAAUCUAAACAAUUGUGUACCAAAAAAUCUUGGAAAAAAAGUUUUUUAGAUGGGGGAUGAUCGUGUAAGAAGAAUCUUGAAAAAAAAAUCAUUGCUUACCAAAUAUAUUAUGUGCGCGAGUGACCAAUUAAUCGUGUGUUGACCGUAACAUUUUUUGUAUUUUUCAUUGUGAGUCUGUGAGCUUUUUUGUUUUCGAAAUUGUUCUAUACAGUGUAAAUAUUUCGAUGAUUUGCUAUAUUUUUUUAAAAAAUAUCUAUUAUAUAUUUGAAUUUUGUAGAAAUAAACUACCAUUUAUUUGAUGAGUACAUGAGCAAGACAAUAUGUACAAUAUAUUGUCUUAUGUGCUUAACAAUAAAUGUAUUUACAUUUUUCUAAUAUAUUUGUAAAAUCAUUAAAAGAUGAACAAUUUUCCAAUAUUCAAGAUUUGAUUCAAAUCAUGUGCGUCAUAAAUUCAACAUUUUCAAUGAUACAUGUUUUCGUACUUCAUUUUUACUUCUUUCGGUUCUUGUUUCAACGAAGAUACAAUAUCCAAUAGUCGUUGAUUUUCAUCAAACAAUUCUUGUAUUCUCUCUUUUUGAGCAGCACAAGUUAAUGAAUCUUCCUCACAUUGAUAAUGUAACUGAUCACAUGACAAGGUAUUCUUUUUAUGUGAAAUCGAGCCUUCAACACAAGAUAUAAAAUCAUCUGUAGAUGGAAUACUGGCAAAAGUUGUACUAUAUUCUCCUUUCUCAUCACUAUCAUCAGACUCUUCAUCAGAUAGAGUGGCAUCAAAACUUUUAUUCUAUCUCCUCAUAUAGGUAAGAUAUUAAGCUUGAUAUUGGUCAUACUCUUCACCUUCUCUACAUUUGAAAAAUCUGAUAUCUUUAUCACUUGACUUGUCACACUCUUUCCUUUUAUAGCUGCCUUGAUCUCUCUACUAUUAGAGCCAUAAUUAUUUGUGUUCCUGAAUUUCUUAACAACUCUAGAAAGUUGUUUGGUUAACAUGGCAAUUGACUCAUUUAUGUUAUCGUUCAAGGAUUUACUUUUAUCAAGAUUUACCUCCUCAUGAACAAAUUGAAAAGCAAUAAUUCAUUUACUAUUUAUAGUAAUAGUAAGUGAUUCCCAAUGAAAAAUGACAACUUUCCAAGUUUUACUUCCCUGAUCGACGCCAUUGAAGACUCAAUGAACCAACGUCAACCCGCUCCUAAUACCAAUUGAAAACAAGUGAGAUAAUCAAUAAUAUCCUUUAACUAUGCCUAAAGUAAUUAACAGUGAGAAUAACUAAAGAAACAGAAAGAACAAAUAACACAAAAGGCUUUGUUAACUCAGUUCGGCGAAUAACACCUACAUUUGAAGAGCUUCUUAACUCAUAUAAGAAAUAUUAGUAAGAUUCAAAUGAGCAAGCAACAACAAUCUUAAGUUGAAACAAAAAAUAUGCUUUCCUGAAUUUGUGUUUGAAUCUACUUGAAGAUAAACUCAGUCUUCCCCUGAAUUCAUUGACUGUAGUUCAAUUAUUUCAGUAUUCUUUCAUAUUUCUUAUCAACUGGUACACACUAAGAUCACUAAUAGAAUUUCAGUAAUUUUUCAUCACAACGAAGGUAAUUGAUGUACCCUUCGAAACCUUUCUCCUAAAAGAAUACUUUCGAAUUGAAUGUCCAGAAAAGUGCAUACCAAACCAGGUGUGGAGCUUCAAUAUUAAAGACUUUAUCAAAUCUUCGAGAUCUUCUUAUUUCAAAGAUAUCAAAUCUUCAAGAUCUUCUUAUUUCAAAGAUAUAGAUAAAAUAUUUCAAUUAAAGGGGUAAAUCUUUUUAUCUUUAACAUACAUAGCUUUGUAUUUGUACCUUUUCUUUUUUUAAGAUAACCAAUGUUCAUUAAAUAAUAAAAAAGAAUUCUUAUUAAUUCUUUUUGAAAAAAAAAAAAACCAACACUAACUUGUAAGUAUAACAUAUUCAAUUAAGAGUAUAUAAGCUACCGAGAAGAAAGAGAAUGAUGGAACCAUGAUGAAUGGACCUUAAAUUUAAGAAGGUUGUAUGUUAGUAGUUGGAUGAGUGUUAAUACAUCUUUUGAGUUUAGCACAAACAAGAGAAACAAAGUUGAGUAUAAUUUAAAGGACAGGCGAUGUGAGGGAAAGGAUGUGUGCAUUAGAAAUUGUGUCAUUUAGACUUUGUUGAUGAGAUUUUGAUAUUCAAUAUUCGAGAGUGGCACGCUAGUCCCACUCAUAGGGAUAGUGAGAAUGAAUUUUGAUUUAAAAGUCACGACCAUUUAUUGUGAAGCUUUAAUUGGAGCUCAAUUUUGAUUGCUUGAAAAAUUGACUGAAGAAUCUAAUGGUAAGAUUAAUUUCUAAACUUUUAAAAGUUCAUGACAUUUUUUAAACAAAGGAUUAAUAGUUUUCAUCCACAACUAACAUAAUUAGGGUAUCUUUUAUUUUAUUUUUAAAAAAAAGUUUGAAAAUUCAAUAAUAUUUUAGAAACAAAUUGGAUAGUUUAGCCUAAAAUAGUUAUAUUUUGUACGUGAAUGCUUCAACAUGCAUUGCCUUACCUUUGUUCUAUAAAAUUUAUAUAUAUAUAUGAUCAUGAUGAAAUUUGAGAGAGUUCGAGUCCUUCUAAUCUUAAUUGAAUCUUCCCUCAAUCUUUAAGAUGGAGGAAAAAGUCAUCUCAAUUACAUAAGUUGUGCUCACUUAGGCAAUUACAUUCUGCUUGGAUGGCAUAUUAUUGUUGCUCAUGAUUUCAAUACAAAGGUCUAAAAUGUUACAAGAUUGAAGGAGGUAGUUCUUUACUACUAUUUAAAAAGAAAAAAGCAAUUCAUUGUUCAUAUGGGCUACGUAGUACCAAAAAGAAUAUCUACAACAUGGAGAGAGAGUAGUUAUACUAAGUCAAAAUUUACUCCUAAUGUUUCUCCAUGAGAACACUAACAAGUAUUUUCUACACGUGCAAGCUAAGUCAGACUAAAAAUCAAUCCUAAAUUUCACAACAGUGAUCAUUGAUAAGAUGCAUAAAAAUAUACUUGUUGGAAGGCAGAUUAUAAGUACAAAAGCAGAAAAUUGAUCAUAAUUGUCUAAUCUCUUUGAUCGUGCGCAUCAUCCUCCUCCUCGUAAUCAUCAUCCUCCUCGUAAUCAUCAUCUUCCUCAAAAUCAUUAUCUUCUUCAGUAUCAUAAUAUUCGUCAGAAUCAUUAGCUUUCUCAUAAUCAUUAUCUUCCUCAGUAUAUCCUCAGUAUCAUUAUCCUCCUCAGUAUCAUUGUCUUUAUCAGUAUCAUUAUCCUCCUCAGCAUCAUUGUCUUUCUCAGUAUCGUUAUCCUCCUCAGCAUCAUUGUCUUUCUCAGUAUCAUUAUCCUCAUUAGCAUCAUUGUCUUUCUCAGUAUCGUUAUCCUCCUUAGCAUCAUUGUCUUUCUUAGUAUCGUUAUCCUCCUCAGCAUCAUUGUCUUUCUUAGUAUCGUUAUCCUCCUCAGUAUCAUUGUCUUUCUCAGUAGCAUUAUCUUCCUCAGCCUUUUCACCAUUAGCAUUAUCUUCCUCAGCCUUUUCACCAUUAGCAAUAUCUUCCUCUGCAUCAGACUUAUAUGUCUUCACAAUCACAUAAUCGUCUGUCACAUUAAGAGUCUCACGCUCUGUUGGCCUUAUGCCAGCCACAUAUCUCACAGCAUUCUGACUUAACUCAAAUGGAUCGAACGAACGGCAGAUCCUGAAAUGUUGUUGAUGGUAGGCUUUAUAAUUUAAUAAAAAUAAUACGAAAAGAAUGUACAAAGUAGGGUUUGAAUCUAGGUUUAUAUUAGACGGGGACUGGAGACAGUUUUACCCGAGUUAAAUGGUGCUUUUGGUAUUAUAUCAGUUAUAUAUAUAUAUAUAUAUAUACAUAAAUAAAGAGAAAGCUAAGUUCGCGGGUGGAUCAAAUCCAGCCAUUUGACUUGAGAGAUUUCAACUAUAAAAUGGAUCAAAAGACUAAAAACCAUACUAAUUAAUCUCCUAGUUCUUUCGACAUCUUGAUCUCUGCCGAUUCCAAAUCUUGAUAAAAUCGUUAUUAAUUAAUAUAGACCUAUUUGGAUUAACUUUCUAAUUAACUAUGUACUAACCUUGGAGGUCUAGAAUGAUUAGCCGCAGUUGCUUCGUGGUUUUCAUCAUUGGAAACCUUACCAGCUUGCUUAUACCACUUCGCCAACUGUGCACACAAGAGAAGGAAUGAUAAACAAUAAGAUUAUAAAACAUUUCAUAACAUUUCUUUUUUUUCUAAAACCAUAAUGAUUUACAUUUAAAGAACGAGCAGUGAAAAUAAUAGUUAAAAAUGAUUACCAGUUUAUACGCUAACUUCGCGGCCAUAUUCAGAACAACAAUUCUAGGACGAGGAGACUCAGAUUCUUCCGGGGGAUCCACUGGAUCAGAUUCUUGCAGUAGUUUGGCCAGGGCAUGGGGUUGAGAUUCUUGCGGUGGAUCAAAUUCUUGGGGCUGGAGUUGUUUCACCGGGGCUUGGGGUUGAGAAUCUUGCGGCUGUGGCAGUGGCAACGGAGCCAUGUUGAGACGAGAGGGAGAAGGGAAGGGGGAGUGAGUUGAGAUUUGAAAUAAAUGAGAGGAGCAAGUGACUUCCUUGACAAGCUAUUCUACUUGAGAAACCCUCAUGUUUAUAAAUUUUAUAAUUAUACUUUUUCCCUCCUUUUCUUGGCUUUCUUUUUAAAAUUAGUAUUCUAUUCCAUUAUUGUUAUCACUUUUCCAAAUAUAACUAUAAACAAUUUUUAAUUUUUCUAUUUUCACUAUUUAAAAAAUGUAGUGAAAAUAAAAAAAUCUGACAAUGCACUAAAUAAUAAGGGAGAAGAGUGAAGAGUGAAGGACGAAGAACCAGAUAGUUUGUCUUUCAUAACCCAACGUGACACUUAAUCUUGAAAUCACAAAACUCCCCAAAUUAAUGGUAAUAAUAGAAGCUGGAAGGUUGUCUACUCCUUCAAUCUCCCUUGCUUAGCAAUUCACUAUCUUCUCCCCUUUCAACAAAAAAUUAACUAUUUGUGUAUGAUCGAUUCCAGUAGAUUAAGCAUGUAAAGAAUUGCUUUCUAGGGGAGUUUCCUUGAAGUCAAUUGGAAAAGCGGUCUAUCAAUGAAUCUUUUUUAUAUAAAAAAAAAAAAAAAGCAAACCAUUUGUAUUCCAGUUAUAGUUUAAUAUACUAGAAAGGGUGUAGAAGUUUUAUGGCUUACAAGUUUAUAUUUGAUCACAACGACAAUAAUUUUAUUCAGAUUUUGGCUCCUGCAGGAAUUGACGAAAACUAUGGAAAGUCGGGGAGUCAAUGCUAAUUUCUCAACUAAUGACUUUGUCUUCAGGCAUGCCACUCCAUAGUUUUAACUCACUUUUUUCAUUGUUCUUUUACUUUGUUUAUUGUUGGUUUGGACUUAGAGGGACAAUGAAAAUAAAGUAUAAGGUGAUUGCAACUUUUACUUUUCAUGUUUGGGUAGUACUUUUAGUUUUAACAAUUUUGGUUUUGAUGUAGAAAGCGAAAGCGAUCAAUUGCAGAACAGAGAAAAUCACUCCCAAUAGCAUCUGGUAUUGAUUAAAGUUCUUUUGGUUUUCUCAUUCAUGUUUUUCUCUCUUGCACCCGAAAGUUCUAAACUUUUUCUGAUGGCUGUCCCUUUUUCUUAUGUGCUUAGUUGAGACAAAUUUCAUCCAAAAUGUGCAUGAAAAUGAUGUAUUGAUUCAUAUUGUUGUUGGUGAAACUGGAAGUGGAAAAACAACACGUGAGAUUUUAACUUCUGAUCUUUUAAAUAAGCUAUUAUGUCAAUCAAAACAAUUUGCAUUGCGUAUUAACUAUUUGGCAUUUUUAUUGAAAUAUUUUAGAGAUACCACAGUUCCUCUUUAAUGCUGGGUUUUGUCGACAUGGAAAAGCUAUUGGGGUAACCCAACCUCGACGAAUUGCUGCCCUAUCUGUAGCCAAACGAGUUGCUGAGGAAUGUGGUGUCGUGGUUGGUGAAAAGGUUGGGUAUUCUAUCAGAUUCGAGGAUGUAACUUCCAGUUCCACCAGAAUAAAGUAUAUGACAGAUGGUAUACUACUGAGGUAAAAUAAGACUACUAUUUUUGCUUUUUUUCAUUUGAGACCAUUUUUCUUUAUUGUACACGCAUGCAUGCUUGUAUACAUGUCUCCCAAUUUCUUUUCGAUUAAAUUGUUUCUUGUAAAAAAACAAAUACAUGGGGCAAUUUUUUAUUAACAGUUAUGCUUGUUUCUUCAUGGUUUAGAAAAGCUAGUCAAUACGGAUUUGGUGAAAUGUGUAACUUACCUAUCAUGUCGCUUUUAUUAAUUUUCAGGGAAGCACUGUUAGAUUCUUAUCUUUCUAGAUAUUCAGUUAUUAUUGUUGAUGAAGCUCAUGAAAGAACUGUUGAUACUGAUGUAUUGCUAGGGUAUUUGAAAAGAGUGCAGAAAGCAAGAUCUAAAUCUUUAACUGAAUCUUCUAAUGAUCUGAACACAAAUGAUAAUGGCUUGACGUUAGAAAAUAGAAAUAGCAGUGAAUAUGCCUUUUCCUUAAAGAGAUGUCAAGGAAGGAAACUACCUCCCCUGAAGCUAAUUAUCAUGUCAGCCAGCUUAAAUGCACCCCUUUUCUCUGAGUUUUCUGGUGGAGCAAAGGUGUUCCAUGUCCAUGGGCGUCAGUAUCCUGUAGCUAUAUUUUAUACCCGCCAGCCCAUACUAGAUUACAUAGAGGGUACUCUUAUUACUAUAUUUUAGGUAGUUAUUAAUUUCUCAUCUUGAAUCCUGUAUUUGAUUGAAUUAAAGAUUUUUUUAAUGUAUAAUGUCUAGCUACUUUCUCAUUUAAACAUGUUUUGACUGUUAUUUUUAAAGUAUUUUUUAUCAAUCCUAGUUUUAUUGUUUGAAAGCUUCUUGUCUUAAUAUGUUCUUACACAAAUUUAUUUAACAACGAAGGAAAUGCUAAGUUCUCCUUAUGAACACUAGUUUAGAUCAACAUGAGAGGAUUAGAUGGUAUUCAAGGGCCGAUAUACGUUGUGAUGGAGUCUUGGAGAAGAGAACAAGAACUGAGUCUCUCUCUUUUUUUUUUUUAUUAAAAUAUGAAAUUUUAAAAACACAACAGCCUAGAAUUGAAGUUUUGUAUCUAAAGGCAGUAACCUGAUAGAUACAACCAGUUGAGAAGUUUUUAAGUCAAGAGAUGUUAUUUAGUAAUUAAUAGAAGACAACACACUAAUAAAAACAACACAGUGACUAAAUACGUCAAUUUUCCCCCUCCCUAAGAAAAACUCGUUUUCGAGUUUCAAGUUGAGAUGUUUAAAAGAUGUCGUUGAUGUGUAGGUGGUCAGGCAACUAGAUCUUGUAGGCGCUGUCACCAAAUCUUUUUAUUACUCGAAAAUGCCUUAUCUUCUUUAGCUGUAGUUUAUUGUAUUUUACAGUUGACAAUCUUGAAGAUUGAUUCUAAAAAAAAGAUCAAUAAGUCUAAAGGUCCUAAAAUAAAAUUAUCAAGUCCAAGGAUCGACCAUCGCAAGUUCAAAUAUAAAAAGUAUUAGAUAAAAAUUAGUAACUUGAAACAUUUAUAUUACGAAUCAAUAAAAUCAAGUUCAUUAUCACAAAUUAAAUUUUCUUUGUUGAAAUCUAACGUGAAUAUGUAAAUUAUUGAAAACAUGUUUCAAAACAAAAAUAGUAAUCAUAAAAAUAUAUUAGGAAGAGUUCAAAAUAUAGCAUCAGACGUCACUCACAUAUUACAUAUGAACCCAAACAAACAAACUCUGCAGCCCAAAAUAGACAUAUAUACCAUGUUAUAUAAACACAGUGCCCUAAACAGCUUCGAUGAAUGAAUGCUUGACCUAUAAUACAAAAAUUUAGUCUAAGCCUUAGUCUUUGGCUUUAAGGAGUUUGUGAAACUUCAAUGGAUUUAGACCAAUAUGGAAAGAUUUGUGUACUAUAUAGAACAACUUGAUGAGAGCUUGUUCUGUUACAACCAACAAGUUUUAUUAUUGAACAUUGUGAAAGACAUUACACUGCAUGCAUUAUGAUUCAAAUAUACACGAUCUCACUUGUGAGUAGUAACCAAAAAAAAACAAUAAAAGAACAAUCAUCAUUUUUCACUCUUAUUCAGAACUAGAUAAUUGCCUCUCAAACGAUACCAACAAACAACAACUUCCUAAUUCUACAACGAAAUGCACAGCUAUAAACAAGAGAGAGAUUUAAAGGCUCUGAAGUAAUUUGAGCGUCUCGCCGAUAUGCUUUUCAGGUUGAAAUUGGUUGUUAUAUAUGAGCUGCACAACCCCAUUCUUAUCUAGAACAUAAGUUUGUCUUCCAGGUAAUGUACCAAAAAGAUCAGCAGGAACUCCCCAUUCUUUUCUCACUUUGUUACCCUCAUCACUUAACAAUGUGAAUGGAAGUCUGUAUUUCUUAGCAAAAGCCUACAUUCCCAAAAAUGUCAACCUACUUGUUAAUAAUGCUAGUUUUUGAGUCUUAAGAAGUUCAUCAGAUGAAGUUGAGUUUAAAUAAAAAUAUUCAGCCUGCUACAGAAAUUUUGGUAGCUUGGGAAAAAAGUGCUUCUAUAGUUACCUUGUGUGAUGAUGAAUCAUCCCCACUUAUGCCCACAACCUCAGCUCCUGCUUUCUUGAACUUCUCAUAAGAAUCUCUGAAAGCACAGGCCUGCAUAAAUGUCAAUUUCCUGUUAGGGAUAAUGUCCCUUAAUUGAUGGGUCAAAACUUCAUUGAACUUAUGUUUGGAAGUGAUUUAUAACCUUGAAAGCAUUAAAAUAUAAAAGCACUUGUAAACAUAUCGAAGUCUACAACUUAGUGACUUAGAGCCUGUUUGAUUUGAUUUUAUAUAGGGUUAAGGAAGUGUCACUAGUCACUUGAAAAUUCAAUCUAAAAAGCCCUUGGUGUUUUUUGCCUAAGCACUUGGUGUUUUUAUGUCUCAAGACCGAGCUUAUUGACCCAAACAGCCAAAUCAACAUUCACAUACCGUAUACUAGCAAUGUGGUUGGACACGCUGAAACCAUUCAACUUUCUGAGAUUUUUGUACAUGUGACCCAAAUUUUAUUGCACUAAUCAUAAACAAUAAAAUACUAAAAACAUGAAAACUAGCCUUUUGCAUGUGUCAAUACUAUUAUCCUUUCACGAUCGCCGGUGUCAUUCAUCACAAAUUGAUGAGACCUCAAAUGCAAUUCAUAUCCCAAGAAAAGUCACAGCAUCGCAAGAAUUUGUAUUUUUAUAAAAAUCAUAAUGUGCCUUGAAAUCGCGUCUGAGGACUCGUCAAUUCGCAAUUCGAGCAAAUCCACAACCGUAAAUGGGAUCUAAAGAGAAUUCAGCAUUGACUGGUGUAUUGUAACGUUUGCAAAAUAGUUUUCAUAAUUUGGGUCAUUCAACCCAAAAACAAAUUUGGGUUAUCCAUACAGAACAAAACUCCAACAUUUUCCCCAAGUGUUACUAUUUCAAGCAAGAACGAGUCCCAAAAUAUACUAGCAUAAAAUUAGCCAAUUUCAAUGGAAGCAAACAUGAACAACAUUUUAGAACAUAGAAAAAGUACCUGUUUGGUGCAACCAGGAGUUUCAUCAGCAGGAUAGAAAUAGACAACCACAGGUUUCCCUUUAAAUUUAGAAAGACUCACAUUCCUUCCCUCCUGAUCUUUCAAAGUGAAAGGAGGAGGGGCUUGGCCCUUAUUCACCUACACAUCAACAAAAACAAAACCAAAAUGAAAUACUACUAAUAAUAAAAAAAAAAAAAUAACCAAAAUGUAACACUAAAAAUCCCAAUAAAAGGGGAUGGGGGGAGGGUACCUUAGCGGAGAUGGUAAAUUUGAAGGAAGAAGAGGAAGAAGGAAGAGAUGAAGGGAGAAUGUGGUGAGAAAUUUGAGCUCCAUGAAAGUGGGAAGUAGAGGAUCUAGAAAGAAAAGGAAGUUUGUUAGAAGAUGGGGUUUUGGGAGUCAGAGAUGGUAGAAGAGAAGUGAGAGAGAGCUUUGGAUGAGGAAGAGAAGCCAUUUUUGGAGGGUUUGUGAGAAAAAAUAUGCUCUCAAAAUCCCUCUUUUCUAUUCUUUCUUAUCCUGCGUAGAUAUGGUAGAUGCGUAGACACGCUGGUUUCUUUUUAAUAUAAUUAAAUGUGAAAAUAGGUGGAAAAUCAUGAGUGGAGAAGGAGAUGGUAAUGGUAAUAGAUAGAUUGGCCUCUCCUCUACCUUUGGAUUCAACCAUUGUUGGCCUCACCCUCUCUAGAAUCUUCACAAAGAAUAGGAGCUUGGGAGUGCACUUUUUCAAGUGCUUUUGGGAGACAAUGUUUGUAUAUAUCAAAAUUAACUCAUUCUGUCAGCUUCAUAAGUGGUACCCAUGCUUAAGUUUCACUUUUCUAGUUCUAAAAUAUUAAUAUAGUGUUAAAUAGAUGUUGCUUAUGCUUAUAUGUGUUACUCCCACCGCACUCCAUCCACAUCCAUGUGGUCAUGUGUCUUUGAGGGUAUUUCAUCACUAUUGCUCAAUUAAGCUUACCUCCUACUAUCCAAAAUCUCUAUAAAUAGUGCUUUGUAGAGAUAUGUGCAUCCAUAGGUUAUUAAUCGAAAAAGUGUGUAGUGGAGAUAAUAAACGUAUAUUGCUGAAAUUUCUAAAUCUUGAAAAAAAAUAUUUUUUAUUUUUCAUAUUUAUUUAAUAUUACAUUUUCUUAAUAUUUGUGCUCUUGUCCUCCCUCUUUCUUACAACAUUUAUUUCCUUCUUCAUUUCUUUUCUUUUCUUUUGUUCGUUUUUGCUUCCUUCUUCACUUGUUUUUGUUUUCUCGAAAGCCACGGCGAAUAAUGAAAUAAAGGAAUAUUACAAAUAUUUAGGUUGUGUUUUUUAAUACAUUUCACGUGUUUAAUUUAAAAAAUAAAUCAUUAAAAAAAAAUGAGAGUGUUUGACAAUUACUCAAAAUAACUAAUGAAGUAUAUUUUAAAAACUUUUAUUAAAAAAAUAAAUAACUUAAAAACAUGUUUUUCUUAACCUAGUCCAAACUACGUUUAAUCUCAUAACGAGAAAACUUAGAGAAAAGAAAUGAAAUGAGUAGCUAAGGCAAGACGUUAACAUGUGUGCAUAAGAGUCCAUGCUAAUUUUACACUAACAUGACAAAUGUUUUUCUUUAAAAGAAAUAUUUGAUAGCCAAUUGAGAAUUUAAAUUUGAAAAUAACUUCAAAUAAACAUGUUAAAGUUAGUGUUUUAUUUUUUCAAGUAUGUGUUUGAUAGCAAUUUUAAAAAUUGUAUUUUAAUUUAAAUAAUUAUUUUUGUGUUUGUUACUGAAAAAGUUUGGCCAAAUAAAUGUUGUCACACCAUCACAAUAAAAGUUCAAGUCUAUUUCGAAAAUUAUAAAUGUAUUGAGUCGAGUAAUUACAAUGGUCCAAGCCUAAUCCAAUUUAAGCCUCAUGGUGAAAUUUUGGCCUAAAAAGAAGGUUGAGCUCAAGCUAAAUCCAAGCCUGCCUUAAUUCAUAGAAAUUUUCUAUAAAUAAAGGUCUUGCCCUUUCAUUUGGGAGGAAGAAUGAAGAUUAAAGCUAUGAAAUCUUGAGGACUGAUUAAGCUCUAAAGUUCUUAAGAUCAAAGAGUUCGUAAGAACAAAACUAAUAAACUUGAUAGAUUAAACUUGAUGGAAGACUGAAGUUUUAAAGCUGUUAAGAUCUAAAAGUUUAUAAGAACAACAAAGCUUCAACGACCUAAAGAAUAUAAAGUUUUGAGAAUCUAAAGAAUAUAAACAAUUGAAGAUCUAAAGAAUAUAAAGCUCUUAAAAGCUCAAGAAUAUAACUUUCAUAAAGUUGCAUCCAAAUAGAUCAACAAGUUAGAAGUUGAUCCAAACUAAUCAUCUAAUCUAAAGAUCGAUCAUCCAAGAAAUAUGUCUAAAGGUCAUUCAUCCAUGAGGAUCAUCAAGCCUAAAUGCCAAACAUCUAGGAAAUUGUACUCACUGUAUCAAAGUGAAUCAAUACAAAUACAAAGCUCAAAUUCCACGAAUUAAAUCUUUCUUCAAUUGAAAUUCUCUAUAAAUUUCAUGUGAACCAAUACUAUAUUUAACAUCGUAAAUUAAUUAUAGUUGCAAAAUGAACAUAACUCAAUUAACACAUAUAAAUAAAUUUUGUAUACCUAUUGUUUUAUAAUAUUAUUGAAUGUACAAUAAAUCACACUCGAUAGGAAAAAGUUACAUACUAAAUAGGGAUAUUUUUAAAAAUAGCAAAAUAAAUUAAAAUAUUUACAAGUUAAAGCAAAGUUUUUAGAUUCUAUCGUCCAUCACUGACUAUCAAUGACAUUGAUAGAAUAAUAUUAUUGACUAUCAAAUGUUUGUUAUUGAUAGAAUUUUAAAAUAUUUGAUAAAAUUUACUAAUUUUCUUAAUAAAUAAUUUAAUUUAUAAAAGAAAAACGAUUGUAAACGAGAAUAAAUGGAUGAAAAUAUUUAUAUAAAAAGUUUAAAUAAAUAUAUUAUGCUAUAUUUGAAAAAACAAAGUGAAUAUAUCCGUCUAAAUUGUUGACCAUUCUCUUUUUAUUUUAGUUGCACAAUUUUCUCGUUUAUUCUUUUAAGAUUUGGAUCCGUGUGAGCUCUGUCACACAUAACUCAAAACUCAAACCAGUUCAACCCCAAACACACCCCCGCGCCGCUCAUCUCUUGCCCAAACCACCAGAUCACCAGACCAGCCCCUCUUCUCGCUGCCAACCAACAUCCUUCGCGCCGCUCAUCUUCCCGACUCCGGUACCCACGUAUUCUUCUUAAGAUAUACAUUAACAUGAUCGAUAGAUAGCAACUACUUGAUUUUUCAUUUCCUUGUGCAAUAGGUCAAAUUCCCACUUUUUCCCUAAAUUCUUCCCAACUGUAACUAACAAUUCACUCUUGGAAUUUCCAAAACCUAACUUGUGAAAAUCUACCAAGUCACUGGCAUCACUCUUAAUCUUAUGAAAAUUUAAAUCAAUUCUUAAAAUUCUUGAUAUGGUUUUGAUUUUGAGUGCUUGUGAUAUCUCUGCCUGAACUUCCUUUCGCUGAUAAUUAUUCCAUACCUUGCCAUUGAAUCUUGUCUUUCCAUUGGGGCAGUUAAAUUUGGAGGUUGUAGAGAAAAAAAAGAAUUCAGCCUCGAGUAUAGUUAAAUUCGAAAGUUUGUGAAAUUAUGUGGCAACACCUUCUUCGGCCCUGUAAUUAUAGGACUAUUGAGACUGUUGCUGCUGCUCAUGUUGCCCGCAAAUCCCCAUUGCUUCGUAAUUUAAUCUCCUCCUCAUCCUCUCUUUACCAACCACACUUAAAUGUGCACAAUGAAUCAAAAUUUUUGAUAACCAAUGUAAAACAUGAGCAGUGUGAAGAUCAACCAGAUUUCUCAAUUGGGUCUCCAUGUAGGGUACAGAAACUCAUUGCAUCCCAAUCUGAUCCUCUUCUUGCCAAGGAAAUUUUCGACUAUGCUUGUCGUCAACCCCAUUUUCGACCAUCAUCUUCCUCUCUCCUCGUUCUUAUCCUCAAGCUAGGCCGUUCCAAAUACUUCUCUCUGAUUGAUGAUCUUCUUCUUAGCUUCAAGUCUAGACGUUACCCUGUCACUCCAACAGCCUUCUCCUACAUAAUCAAAAUCUAUGGUGAAGCUGAUUUACCAGAUAAAGCUCUUAAAGUCUUUUAUACUAUGAUCGACUUUGGGUGUACGCCUUCUUCCAAACAAUUGAACCGCAUACUGGAAAUUUUGGUUUCUCAUCGUAACUUCAUUCGACCAGCUUUUGAUCUUUUCAAGAAUGCCCGUCAUCAUGGAGUGUUGCCCAACACCAAAUCUUAUAACAUUCUUAUUCGUGCAUUCUGUUGGAAUGGAAAUAUUAGUAUUGCCUACACACUGUUCAACAAGAUGUUCGAACGAAAUGUCAUUCCAGAUGUCGAGACGUAUCGGACAUUAAUGCAGGGUCUUUGCAGGAAGAAUCAAGUGAAUGGUGCUGUUGACUUGCUUGAAGAUAUGUUGAACAAAGGAUACAUUCCAGACACAUUGAGCUAUGCCACUUUGUUAAAUAGUUUAUGUAGGAAGAAAAAGCUAAGGGAAGCUUAUAAACUUCUCUGUAGAAUGAAGGUUAAAGGUUGCAAUCCUGAUAUUGCUCAUUACAAUACAGUUAUAAUGGGAUUUUGCAGAGAAGGGCGUGCUCUUGAUGCUUGUAAGAUUCUGGAGGAUAUGCAGUCAAAUGGUUGUUUGCCUAAUUUAGUAUCCUACGAGAGUUUGACUAAUGGAUUAUGUGAUCAAGGAAUGUUUGAAUUGGCAAAGGGUUAUGUUGAGGAGAUGACAUUAAAGGGUUUUUACCCACAUUUCUCUGUCAUUCAUGCUUUGGUUAAGGGUUUCCAUAGCAUUGGCAGAAUCCACGAGUCGUGUAGUGUUCUUGAAGACAUGCUAAAGCGUGGGAAAGCCCCUCAUUCCGAUACUUGGGAGAUUAUUAUAUCUGGGAUUUGUGAAGUUGAGGACACUGCCAAAUUUUGUGAAGUUUGGGAGAAGAUUUUGAAGAAAGAUGUAAGAAGAGACACUAGAAUAGUUGAAGCAGGCACUGGUUUGGGUGAGUAUUUAAUUAGGAAGCUACAAGCUUCCAUAUCACGAAGGAUUUGAAUAUUUCUUAGUUAAACUAGUUGUAAGAGUAUUCAAAUUUUUAGUCUCUUGGUUUGAGAUAUACGCCAUAAUCAAUUCAUUUGUAGCUCAAGUUGCACAAACGGCUUGAAUUUUUAUUGUACAUGCUUGAUUGAGUUUUUGGAUAUCUUCCAUCCUAUUUACAGCACAAACAUGAACAUCAUUUUGUUUUUGAAAUUUAUGCUUUUUUCCCCUCCACAUUUGGAUUAGUCAAAAUCUAAAAACAAAAACAAACUUUGAGAAGCUACUUUCUUCAAAAUUUUGCUUGGGUUCUUAAAACAUUGAUAAAAGGUGGACUAAAUAAAGUUAAAAAAAUGAGAUGUGAAAAUAAGGUAGACUUCAAUCUAAUAAGAGAUACUCAAGAACAAUCAUAUAUUGAAAUAUAAGCUAUAAUAUCAAAAGUACCUAACUUUUCAAGAGGACUGCAUUUUUUCAAAUUUUCACCCAAAGGAAAUUCACUACAAAAUUUUUCAUACUAAUAUUUUUCUAAUAACCUAUUUUAUUUCUAGCUAGGUCCCAAAAACGCACCUCGUUCUCAAGGUGUGGGUAGAGUAAUCUCAUUACAAACCUUACUCCCAAAGAAAGAUCAACCACCAAAAAGUAAAACCAAACUGAAAAAAGUUCACUUAAAACUUGUCUACAAAUUCCUGCCAUUGCAUGCAAGCUUGCAGGAAAAGAAAAUUGGACUUCAAUUAUUUCAUGGGCUAACCAGAAAGAAUAACGUUUUCAAAGCCUUAGAAAAAUGACAACCCUACUUAUUCUUUGUAGGUAUGGCAAAACAAGUUAAAAAUAUAAUAAAACCAAAAAAUUACAAAACCCUAAAACUUGUAAAUAUGAGCUACAAUGUUUGAUUUGAUAUAUUUCGUACACUUUAAUUAAAACAUGUAAAUUACCAUCAUAAGCUUACAAUGUAAGGAGAAACGUGCAUUGAGAAUUUGAAAUUGGAGAAGCAACCUGCCCAUUUAUUUUUUUAGUAGUAGCCCUUUUUCUAGAUAGUUUAGGGUAAUUAAAAACAUAAUUUAUAGUUUAAACUAUGGGACGUUUGAACAUGAGACUACAUACAGAUACCAAUGAACUCAAUCGAUAUUUCUCAUCCUCAUGUAGUUUGGGAUUUCAUAAUUAAGUAAAAUUUUAAUUGUUUGUAGCCUCUUCUUUUAAGGUCUAUAAUAUAAUAAUUAGAAGGUAUCGUUAAGAACGUUAGUAAAUAGAGUUUCAAUGGUAACCUUGAAAAUUAAUAUCACAAUUGAAGUUACUUUUAUGACCUAUAAAUUUAUGAACAAAAUCAGAUUGAAAGUAUCGUCAAAAUCUUAAUCCUUUAAGGAGAGUUUAAAAAUACUAAAAAUGACUCACGUAGACAUCAUAUCGGUUGUUAUGAUUAAAAUAAGAGGAAGACACAAAUUGUAAAAGGAGAAAUCAAGUCUCAUUAAUAGGAAACUAUAAGUUCAAAAUUUAAAUUUAAUAACAAAAACUCCACUACUCAAAAUACUCGAAAUGAAAGACAGAUAACAAAAAUUCAGGGAUGAUAGGAACCAAAAAAACAACCAUGGAUAAAGGAGGGCAGUUAAAUCUAAGCCUUGAGGCGACCAAAGAACUUCUGUUUCUCCUGUGUUGUCUGGAAGCGUCCAUGGCCAAACUUGGAGGAUGUAUCGAUGAACUUAAGUUUGAUCUCCUCAAGAGCCACACGAGAAGUUUGUUUGAGAAGAGACUGACGAAGGGUGAUGACCCUCUUCUUGGGUCCAACACAACCUCCCUUAAUCAUCAAGUAGUCACUCUUCACGAUACCGUAGUGAGGGAAACCACCCAUGGGAGUAAUGUCCUUCUCAGUCCUGUUUCAAACAAAGGAAGCAAAAUAAGAGACAAAAUACGAGAGCUACUUUGAAAUCGCUAUUCAACCUAAUGUAGCAAGCUAACCUGUCGAAUUCAGUAAUAGCAGUGUGCGAUUCCUGCCCCGUCUUUCCAAUUUUGUAGACCUUUUUGUUCAUUUCAGUUCGGUGAUGGUAACCGUUCUGACCAGCCCUGGCAACAGUGAAUGACACUCUAGCAGGAUGCCAUGCACCAAU
Molecule: long non-coding RNA, 19540 nt
Filed under: Cucumis sativus (cucumber)
Lineage: Eukaryota; Viridiplantae; Streptophyta; Magnoliopsida; Cucurbitales; Cucurbitaceae
Description: long non-coding RNA (CSAT_LNC002178)
Source: RNAcentral